AGCGAACGCUGGCGGCAGGCCUAACACAUGCAAGUCGAACGAACCUUUCGGGGUUAGUGGCGGACGGGUGAGUAACACGUGGGAACGUGCCUUUAGGUUCGGAAUAACUCAGGGAAACUUGUGCUAAUACCGAAUGUGCCCUUCGGGGGAAAGAUUCAUCGCCUGUAGAGCGGCCCGCGUCCGAUUAGCUAGUUGGUUGAGGUAAUGGCUCACCAAGGCGACGAUCAGUAGCUGGUCUGAGAGGAUGAUCAGCCACAUUGGGACUGAGACACGGCCCAAACUCCUACGGGAGGCAGCAGUGGGGAAUCUUGCGAAAUGGGCGAAAGCCUGACGCAGCCAUGCCGCGUGAAUGAUGAAGGUCUUAGGAUUGUAAAAUUCUUUCACCGGGGACGAUAAUGACGGUACCCGGAGAAGAAGCCCCGGCUAACUUCGUG
This 434-nucleotide ribosomal RNA is filed under the name uncultured bacterium. RNAcentral's name for it is "partial 16S ribosomal RNA". It matches the Rfam family "Bacterial small subunit ribosomal RNA", at positions 29 to 507 of the family's 1533-position model. The record is from RNAcentral.